UUUUUGAUUUACAAAAUUUAUUUUAAUCAAAGUCAUGAUGACAAAAGAAUAUUAUUAAUUGUAUCACUUUAAAUUUUAUUAUAAAUUGUUUUUUUUUAUUUAUUUAUUAUAUUAGAAUUUAUUCUAGAACAAUGUUAUUCCCAACCGAAACUAAUUUAUCAAUUCGAGAAAUAUAUUAAUUAGUUCAGGCUUCAAACAACUUCGUAGCAAAGGAAAUAUGUUUACAUAAAUUAAAAAUUGAUAUAAAAUCUUAACUUUUUACCUUCAAACAUAAAACUCUCCUUCAUUAAUUUAUAAAUUUCAGUCCGUUUUUGAAAUUUGUAAUUAAUAAAUUUAAAUCAUAAAACAAAAUAAACUUUUUUUGAAUGAAAUAAAUAAAUUUGCUUUGUUACUAUAUAGUUAAUUCAAUUGAAUCUAUAAAAGAGAAAAAGUGCGAUUAAUUCAGAAACGAAUGGGAACCACGAAAAGACGAGAAUCGACUUUUAGUCGUUCGUUAAAUCUAUCGAGCUAGCGUGAAGCAAUGAAUUCGUUCGUUAAAUCUAUAUCACGCUAGCUGAUCUAUACAGCUCAGUUUUUCUAGUUCUUUCCGUUAGUCUGUCUGAACUUCACAGCCAACUAAUCUUGUUUACAUCAUGGAAGCAUCGUGGGAAGAAUGGCGUUAUAUUUUAAAAUGAUUUGGAAAACAGCCUAUUAUUUUUAUUUCAAUAGAGGUAUGUUUUUCUUGUUCUUGACAUAUUCAACAUGCAAACUAUUAUAGAAUUUUUUUU
Non-coding RNA from Parasteatoda tepidariorum (common house spider), 767 nucleotides. The record is from RefSeq and is a predicted model, not a curated record. NCBI's taxonomy places the organism in Eukaryota, Metazoa, Arthropoda, Arachnida, Araneae, Theridiidae.